GAGAUUCAAUAAUGAAGCUGCCUUCAUAGUUUCCUUCCAUUCUAAUGAAAAAUAGAGACAAAAACACUUGAUGUGGAAUAUAAGAGGUAAAUGUUCUGAAGAAAAAUAAGGGAGUAAAGAAAUGAAGAAGAGAAAAAAUACAAUGUCAUAUGUGAAGCCCAUGUCGUAUUAUCAAAGCCCAAGAAAUUCUCCAAAGAAAAGACAAGACCCUGACUACACCUCAGCAGUCUUUUCUUUUACUGUUUUGCCUUUCCAUUUUAGCAAAUAAUCAGCUUGAUGGUGAGAUAUUUAUAAAAUUUACACUGGAAACCAUCAUUUCACAUGGUCAAUAAUAUCAUUGUAUCUUACUGACGAAGUUCAAUAAACUGGCAUUGAAUCUACA
Long non-coding RNA from Canis lupus familiaris (dog), 382 nucleotides. RefSeq lists it as uncharacterized. Lineage: Eukaryota; Metazoa; Chordata; Mammalia; Carnivora; Canidae. The record is from RefSeq and is a predicted model, not a curated record. The transcript has 2 exons.